This is a long non-coding RNA of Centrocercus urophasianus (Greater sage-grouse), 404 nucleotides long. RefSeq lists it as uncharacterized. The record is from RefSeq and is a predicted model, not a curated record. Lineage: Eukaryota; Metazoa; Chordata; Aves; Galliformes; Phasianidae. The transcript has 3 exons.
CUGGAAGGAAGCUCUGCUCCCUGCCCUUCUGAUGGGGUUUAUGGAUACAGAUGUCCUAGUGGCUUCUACUGUCCUGCUGGCACUGGACUAGAGCUGCCCUGUGAGCCUGGCACCUUCAGCCCUAUGCCUGGGGCAAGUACUUGCCUCCCUUGCCCAGCUGGUAUGGCCUGCAGCCAUGCAGCCACUGCAGAGCCACUCAGCUGCCCCAGAGGUUAUUAUUGUCCAGCUAGGACUGCUGCUCCCCUGCCGUGCCCUGAAGGGACACUGAAUACCAUGGAGGGGGCAUUGGCCCCCACUGCUUGCAAGCUGUGUCCAGUGGGGAGGUACUGCAGAGGAGAUGCUAACUGGGAACCUGAUGGUCUGUGUUCAGCUGGGUACUAUUGUGAAGGAGGAGCCACUGAUGC